RNAcentral lists this ribosomal RNA (465 nucleotides) under uncultured bacterium. RNAcentral describes it as "partial 16S ribosomal RNA". It matches the Rfam family "Bacterial small subunit ribosomal RNA", at positions 339 to 795 of the family's 1533-position model. The record is from RNAcentral.
CUACGGGUGGCUGCAGUGAGGAAUUUUGCGCAAUGGGGGGAACCCUGACGCAGCAACGCCGCGUGAGUGAUGAAGGCUUUCGGGUCGUAAAGCUCUGUCAAGUGGGAAGAACCUAUGCAGUGUUAAUAUCACUGUAUACUGACGGUACCACUGAAGGAAGCACCGGCUAACUCCGUGCCAGCAGCCGCGGUAAUACGGGGGGUGCAAGCGUUAUUCGGAAUCAUUGGGCGUAAAGGGCACGUAGGCGGCUUGGUAAGUCAGAUGUGAAAGCCCGGGGCUUAACCCCGGAAGUGCAUUUGGUACUGUCAGGCUUGAGUAUGGGAGAGGGAAGUGGAAUUCCUGGUGUAGAGGUGAAAUUCGUAGAUAUCAGGAGGAACACCGGUGGCGAAGGCGACUUCCUGGACCAAUACUGACGCUGAGGUGCGAAGGCGUGGGUAGCAAACAGGAUUAGAUACCCGCGUAGUC